CCUACGGGGUGCAGCAGUCGAGAAUAAUUCACAAUGGGGGAAACCCUGAUGGUGCGACGCCGCGUGGGGGAAUGAAGGUCUUCGGAUUGUAAACCCCUGUCAUGUGGGAGCAAAUUAAAAAGAUAGUACCACAAGAGGAAGAGACGGCUAACUCUGUGCCAGCAGCCGCGGUAAUACAGAGGUCUCAAGCGUUGUUCGGAAUCACUGGGCGUAACGCGUGCGUAGGCUGUUUCGUAAGUCGUGUGUGAAAGGCGCGGGCUCAACCCGCGGACGGCACAUGAUACUGCGAGACUAGAGUAAUGGAGGGGGAACCGGAAUUCUCGGUGUAGCAGUGAAAUGCGUAGAUAGCGAGAGGAACACUCGUGGCGAAGGCGGGUUCCUGGACAUUAACUGACGCUGAGGCACGAAGGCCAGGGGAGCGAAAGGGAUUAGAUACCCGAGUAGUC
Molecule: ribosomal RNA, 446 nt
Filed under: uncultured bacterium
Lineage: Bacteria
Description: partial 16S ribosomal RNA
Rfam family: Bacterial small subunit ribosomal RNA
Source: RNAcentral